RNAcentral lists this ribosomal RNA (800 nucleotides) under Ammonia sp. genotype T6. Its description in RNAcentral is "SSU rRNA". It matches the Rfam family "Eukaryotic small subunit ribosomal RNA", at positions 1200 to 1648 of the family's 1831-position model. The record is from RNAcentral. Lineage: Eukaryota; Foraminifera; Rotaliida; Rotaliidae.
UCAACGCGGGAAAUCUUACCGGGUCCGGACACACUGAGGAUUGACAGAUAUAUACCCCGUGAUUUUAUCGCGGGGUUGAAAGAUGCUAGUUCUUUCAUGAUUAUGUGAUAGGUGGUGCAUGGCCGUUCUUAGUUCGUGGAGUGAUCUGUCUGCUUAAUUGCGUAUCAAUAAUAGAGACCUAGUAUACGCGUAGACUCAUGCGGUAGUGACCCCCCUUCACAGGGCGCGUGUCGCACGUAUGUUAUACGCACAGGUCUCCGAUAGCAACGAACGUGACCGUACUCUAUUGUUGCAGCGACAAUACCUUUCAACGGGUAUUACCGCUGCUUAGCAAGAUUCGUCUUGCAUUAAACUAUAGAGACCGCUGUUUCUUCUUUAAACCAGAGGAAGGAUACGGCAAUAACAGGUCUGUGAUGCCCUCAGAUGUUCCGGGCUGCACACGUGCUACAAUGAUCAUUGCACUGUGCAUCUAACCCAAUGUGCGCGGACGCCGCCGUGCGUAUAUACUUUAUUGUGUAUGCGUAUCGUGCGUGCGACCGCGCCGAACCUGCUUCGAAAGUAAACAUUUCCAGCGGGUAAUCCAUUAGAAGUAAUGACUCGCAUAGACCAUGGCACACUAUAUGUACCCGCGGGUUCUACCCGGCUCGCCUUUGUGUGAGUGCAGUGCGUAGCUCGUUGUUUGGUACGUGCCACUCCGUAUUAAUUCAUACGUGGGGAUAGAUCAUUGUUUAAUUGUUGGUCUCGGUCUUAACUAGGAAUGCCUUGUACGGGUCUUUGGUUCAACAUACCACCCGGAAUAC